This 373-nucleotide ribosomal RNA is filed under the name uncultured organism. RNAcentral describes it as "bacterial SSU rRNA". It matches the Rfam family "Bacterial small subunit ribosomal RNA", at positions 526 to 896 of the family's 1533-position model. The record is from RNAcentral.
CGUAGGGGGCAAGCGUUGUCCGGAUUUACUGGGCGUAAAGAGCGCGUAGGCGGACGUUUAAGUGUGGCCUGAAAGCCCCCGGCUCAACCGGGGAUCCGGGUUGCAAACUGGACGUCUUGAGGGGGAUAGGGGAAGGUGGAAUUCCUGGUGUAGCGGUGAAAUGCGUAGAGAUCAGGAGGAACACCCGUGGCGAAGGCGGCCUUCUGGGUCCGCCCUGACGCUGAGGCGCGAAAGCGUGGGGAGCGAACGGGAUUAGAUACCCCGGUAGUCCACGCCGUAAACGAUGAUUACUAGGUGUGUGUGGUAUCGACCCCACACGUGCCGCAGCUAAACGCAAUAAGUAAUCCGCCUGGGGAGUACGGCCGCAAGGUUG